UCAUAUGUUAUAAAUAAAGCA
RNAcentral lists this non-coding RNA (21 nucleotides) under Caenorhabditis elegans. The record is from RNAcentral. Lineage: Eukaryota; Metazoa; Nematoda; Chromadorea; Rhabditida; Rhabditidae.